RNAcentral lists this signal recognition particle RNA (264 nucleotides) under Clostridia bacterium. RNAcentral's name for it is "signal recognition particle sRNA large type". It matches the Rfam family "Bacterial large signal recognition particle RNA". Rfam says of the family: The signal recognition particle (SRP) is a universally conserved ribonucleoprotein involved in the co-translational targeting of proteins to membranes. Archaeal SRP consists of a 7S RNA and homologues of the eukaryotic SRP19 and SRP54 proteins. In most bacteria, the SRP consists of a 4.5S RNA and the Ffh protein (a homologue of the eukaryotic SRP54 protein). Lineage: Bacteria; Bacillati; Bacillota; Clostridia. The record is from RNAcentral.
CUGUGCUAAGUGGGGAGUUAGCGGUGCCCUGAACCUGCAAUCCGCUAUAGCAGGACCGAACGUCUUUCCCGACGGCGCAAGUGGAAGGCCGCGUCUUAUAAGGGGUGUUGAUACCAAGGUCUUAUGCAACCGAACGCUGCGAACCGUGUCAGGAUAGGGAUAUAGCAGCACUAAACAGUUUCUUCGGUGUGCCAUAAGGUAGCUUUGGAGGAGCCACCUGUAAGAUUUACGCUUCGGCUUGUUCCGGCAAAAAAGACUGCACAG